UACGUAGGGUCCGAGCGUUGUCCGGAAUUACUGGGCGUAAAGAGCUCGUAGGUGGUUUGUCGCGUUGUUCGUGAAAACUCACAGCUCAACUGUGGGCGUGCGGGCGAUACGGGCAGACUGGAGUACUGCAGGGGAGACUGGAAUUCCUGGUGUAGCGGUGGAAUGCGCAGAUAUCAGGAGGAACACCGGUGGCGAAGGUGGGUCUCUGGGCAGUAACUGACGCUGAGGAGCGAAAGCGUGGGGAGCGAACAGG
RNAcentral lists this ribosomal RNA (253 nucleotides) under uncultured bacterium. RNAcentral describes it as "partial 16S ribosomal RNA". It matches the Rfam family "Bacterial small subunit ribosomal RNA", at positions 524 to 776 of the family's 1533-position model. The record is from RNAcentral.